This 404-nucleotide ribosomal RNA is filed under the name uncultured Oscillospiraceae bacterium. Its description in RNAcentral is "bacterial SSU rRNA". It matches the Rfam family "Bacterial small subunit ribosomal RNA", at positions 356 to 774 of the family's 1533-position model. Lineage: Bacteria; Bacillati; Bacillota; Clostridia; Eubacteriales; Oscillospiraceae. The record is from RNAcentral.
GAGGAAUAUUGGUCAAUGGGCGCGAGCCUGAACCAGGCAAGUAGCGUGAAGGAUGACUGCCCUAUGGGUUGUAAACUUCUUUUAAGGGGGAAGAGUAGAAGACGGUACCCCUUGAAUAAGCCACGGCUAACUACGUGCCAGCAGCCGCGGUAAUACGUAGGUGGCGAGCGUUGUCCGGAAUUACUGGGUGUAAAGGGCGUGUAGGCGGGAAUGUAAGUCAGAUGUGAAAUCCCAGGGCUUAACUCUGGAGCUGCAUCUGAAACUAUGUUUCUUGAGUGUCGGAGAGGAAAGCGGAAUUCCUAGUGUAGCGGUGAAAUGCGUAGAUAUUAGGAGGAACACCAGUGGCGAAGGCGGCUUUCUGGACGAUAACUGACGCUGAGGCGCGAAAGCGUGGGGAGCGAACA